Molecule: long non-coding RNA, 404 nt
Filed under: Ananas comosus (pineapple)
Lineage: Eukaryota; Viridiplantae; Streptophyta; Magnoliopsida; Poales; Bromeliaceae
Description: long non-coding RNA (ACOM_LNC004568)
Source: RNAcentral
AUUCUUAAAAGUAUAGUGAAUUAUAAAUAUAUUUCUAUAAUGUUCAACUUUUAUAUAUUUUUUCUACAAAUGUAUUAAUAUUUUUAAAUAUGUCUCUAUGAUUUGUAAUCGUUAAAAUACUGUUUAUUUUAUAAAUAAAAUGACUUUUUUACUAUCAUAAAUAUAUACUUCUAAAAAUUCUAACUAUUAAUUAAAAUGAGUAAAAAGAUCAAUUCGUCUCAUUAACUAAUCAUGGUUAAGUAUUUAACCUAUGGUUAAUUAAAUUUUUUUAACGGAUUCUAAUAACAGAGAUAUAUUUAAAAACGUGAGGACUUUUCGAAAACAACAUAUGAAAGUUGAACUUUGUAGAUAUAUUUGCAAUUCAUUAUAUUUGUAAGGUCUUCUAUACAAUUAACCCAUUGAAA